This 119-nucleotide ribosomal RNA is filed under the name Oncorhynchus mykiss (rainbow trout). The record is from RNAcentral. Lineage: Eukaryota; Metazoa; Chordata; Actinopteri; Salmoniformes; Salmonidae.
GCUUACGGCCACACCGGCCUGAGUACGCCUGAUCUCGUCCGAUCUCUGGAAGCUAAGCAGGGUCGGGCCUGGUUAGUACUUGGCUGGGAGACGCCUGGGAAUACCAGGUGCUGUAAGCU